AGACGUCUACAUUAGACUACCCCCGUAGUCCCAGCCGUAAACUAUGCGCGUUAGGUGUAUCGGUGACCACGAGUUACCGAGGUGCCGAAGGGAAACCGUGAAACGUGCCGCCUGGGAAGUACGGUCGCAAGGCUGAAACUUAAAGGAAUUGGCGGGGAGCACCACAACAGGUGGAGCCUGCGGUUUAAUUGGACUCAACGCCGGGAAGCUCACCGGAUAGGACAGCAGAAUGAUUGCCGGGCUGAAGACCCUGCAUGACUAGCUG
Molecule: ribosomal RNA, 265 nt
Filed under: uncultured archaeon
Lineage: Archaea
Description: partial 16S ribosomal RNA
Rfam family: Archaeal small subunit ribosomal RNA
Source: RNAcentral